GAUGAACGCUGGCGGCGUGCUUAACACAUGCAAGUCGAACGGAAAGGCCAGUGCUUGCACUGGUACUCGAGUGGCGAACGGGUGAGUAACACGUGGGUGAUCCGCCCUGCACUUCGGGAUAAGCCUGGGAAACUGGGUCUAAUACCGGAUAGGACAAUGGUUUGGAUGCCGUUGUGGAAAGUUUUUUCGGUGUGGGAUGAGCUCGCGGCCUAUCAGCUUGUUGGUGGGGUAAUGGCCUACCAAGGCGUCGACGGGUAGCCGGCCUGAGAGGGUGUACGGCCACAUUGGGACUGAGAUACGGCCCAGACUCCGACGGGAGGCAGCAGUGGGGAAUAUUGCACAAUGGGCGCAAGCCUGAGGCAGCGACGCCGCGUGGGGGAUGACGGCCUUCGGGUUGUAAACUCCUUUCGCUAGGGACGAAGCGUAUUUGUGACGGUACCUGGAGAAGAAGCACCGGCUAACUACGUG
Molecule: ribosomal RNA, 468 nt
Filed under: uncultured bacterium
Lineage: Bacteria
Description: partial 16S ribosomal RNA
Rfam family: Bacterial small subunit ribosomal RNA
Source: RNAcentral